Molecule: ribosomal RNA, 253 nt
Filed under: uncultured bacterium
Lineage: Bacteria
Description: partial 16S ribosomal RNA
Rfam family: Bacterial small subunit ribosomal RNA
Source: RNAcentral
UACGGAGGGUGCAAAUGUUGCUUGGAAUCAUUGGGCGUAAAGCGUAUGUAGGCGGACCGUUAAGUCGGAUGUGAAAGCCCUCGGCUUAAUCGAGGAAGUGCAUUCGAAACUGACAGUCUUGAGUAUGGAAGAGGGUUGUGGAAUUCCCGGUGUAGAGGUGAAAUUUGUAGAUAUUGGGAGGAAUAUCAGUGGCGAAGGCGGCGACUUGGGUUAAUACUGAUGUUGAGGUGUGAAAGUGUGGGGAGCAAACAGG